Long non-coding RNA from Betta splendens (Siamese fighting fish), 835 nucleotides. RefSeq lists it as uncharacterized. The record is from RefSeq and is a predicted model, not a curated record. NCBI's taxonomy places the organism in Eukaryota, Metazoa, Chordata, Actinopteri, Anabantiformes, Osphronemidae. The transcript has 2 exons.
UCGUAAACGCUGCAGACACUAAAUGUAACAGCAGCGUUAAAAAAUGACGACAUGGUUUUUAGUGGUUGUGAGCCAGAAGGAGCCCAGUGUGGAGUUUACAUGUUCUCCUGUGUCUUCGUGGGUUUUUUAUUAUUUUAGUUUUAUUUCGUAUUCAGUUUUAUUAUUCAAAGACUGUAUUUUGUUUUUUGUUUGAGAUUUAAAGAGUCAAAAUCAAAAUUUAGUUUAAAAGAACAUUGUCAUGACCUGGCUGUUUCGGUGGAGUUCUGUGUUGCCGGGUUCAUUUCCUGUUUUAUUUUCUUGCACUUCCGGUUCUGUCUUGUCGUGCUUAGUUCACCUUUGCUUUUCAGUCAUGAGAUCACCAGCUGUUUCCUAUCAGUAAUUACCGGCAUUUAAGCUUCAGCACUCACCUCUUCCGUUUGCCAGAUUGUUUAUUCAAGCACCCUGUUUGUCACCUUCCAGCAACUUCACACAGACGCCAUAUGGAGGAGGACGAGGCUGCCACAACAAGUUCUAUAAGAAGCUUUUCAAGGUCCUGGAGUGGACUCAUCAAUCUCCACACCUCAACCUUGUAGAAAAUCUAUGGAGGAAGGUCUGUGUUGCCCAGUGACAAUCCUAAAACAUUACUGCUCUGGAGGUGAUCUGCAUGGAAGAAAAAGGCCAAAAAAGAACAGCUACAGUGUGUGUGAAAAACUGGUGAACAGGUACAGGAAACGUCUGACUCCUGUCAUUGUCAACAAAGGUUUUAUUACAAAAGUAGUGCGUUGAACUUUUGUUAUUGACCAAAUACUUAUCUUUAGGAAUUUAUAAAUAAAUUCAAAUAAAAAAAACAAAACAA